GCCCUGAUGGUCUAGCGGUAUGAUUCUCCCUUAGGGUUAUCUUCGAUAUCUUGCUUGGGAGAGGUCCCAGGUUCGAUCCCUGGUUAGGGCC
RNAcentral lists this transfer RNA (91 nucleotides) under Colletotrichum cereale. Its description in RNAcentral is "tRNA-Pro". Lineage: Eukaryota; Fungi; Ascomycota; Sordariomycetes; Glomerellales; Glomerellaceae. The record is from RNAcentral.